AUUGAACGCUGGCGGCAUGCCUUACACAUGCAAGUCGAACGGUAACAGGUCUUCGGAUGCUGACGAGUGGCGAACGGGUGAGUAAUACAUCGGAACGUGCCCGAUCGUGGGGGAUAACGAGGCGAAAGCUUUGCUAAUACCGCAUACGAUCUACGGAUGAAAGCGGGGGAUCUUCCGACCUCGCGCGGACGGAGCGGCCGAUGGCAGAUUAGGUAGUUGGUGGGCUAAAAGCUUACCAAGCCGACGAUCUGUAGCUGGUCUGAGAGGAUGAUCAGCCACACUGGGACUGAGACACGGCCCAGACUCCUACGGGAGGCAGCAGUGGGGAAUUUUGGACAAUGGGGGAAAGCCUGAUCCAGCCAUGCGGCGUGCAGGAUGAAGGCGUUCGGGUUGUAAACUGCUUUUGUACGGAACGAAAAGCCUCUUUCUAAUAAAGAGGGGUCAUGACGGUACCGUAAGAAUAAGCACCGGCUAACUACGUG
This 482-nucleotide ribosomal RNA is filed under the name uncultured bacterium. Its description in RNAcentral is "partial 16S ribosomal RNA". It matches the Rfam family "Bacterial small subunit ribosomal RNA", at positions 30 to 507 of the family's 1533-position model. The record is from RNAcentral.